GAUGAACGCUGGCGGCGUGCCUAAUACAUGCAAGUCGAGCGAACGGACGAGAAGCUUGCUUCUCUGAUGUUAGCGGCGGACGGGUGAGUAACACGUGGAUAACCUACCUAUAAGACUGGGAUAACUUCGGGAAACCGGAGCUAAUACCGGAUAAUAUUUUGAACCGCAUGGUUCAAAAGUGAAAGACGGUCUUGCUGUCACUUAUAGAUGGAUCCGCGCUGCAUUAGCUAGUUGGUAAGGUAACGGCUUACCAAGGCAACGAUGCAUAGCCGACCUGAGAGGGUGAUCGGCCACACUAGAACUGAGACACGGUCCAGACUCCUACGGGAGGCAGCAGUAGGGAAUCUUCCGCAAUGGGCGAAAGCCUGACGGAGCAACGCCGCGUGAGUGAUGAAGGUCUUCGGAUCGUAAAACUCUGCUAUUAGGGAAGAACAUAUGUGUAAGUAACUGUGCACAUCUUGACGGUACCUAAUCAGAAAGCCACGGCUAACUACGUG
RNAcentral lists this ribosomal RNA (497 nucleotides) under uncultured bacterium. Its description in RNAcentral is "partial 16S ribosomal RNA". It matches the Rfam family "Bacterial small subunit ribosomal RNA", at positions 28 to 507 of the family's 1533-position model. The record is from RNAcentral.